CUUUUUUAUUUAAGAAGAGUUAGUUAGCUGGUUGGUCGUUAAUCAACUAUAUGAAGAGAGGAAUGGUUUGUAAGUUGAAGUAUUUUACAAUGUUUAGAUAAAGUGAAGAGCAGAAGAGCUAAGUAAUAUUUGUGCCAGCACUUGCGGUCAUACACUAAGCUCAAGUUAACUUUCAUGCUGAUUAUACUAGUAAUAUGUAAUAGUAACUAAAUUUAAGUAGAAAGGUGAAAUCAAAUACUCAUUUAUAAACUUUAUUACGUAAAAAGUAAGAAAUUGUACCUAUAAACUAGGAUUAGAUACCCUACUAUAUACAACGUAAGUAUUAUAUCAAGGUAGUAAUGGUUACGGUCCGUGAAAACUAAUAACAUAUGGCGGUUGACAAUCUUUCCAGAGACCCAUGUUUGUAAUCGAUAAUGCACGUCAAUCUUACCCUAUUUAAGAUUUUGUACACCGCUGUCGGAAGGUUGUGGAUAAUUUCAUAAUCUAUUACUAUCAAAGUAAUAAGUCAAGUCAAGGUGCAGACUAUGAUGGGGAUAUAAUGUGGGUCAUUGGUCUAAUAUGAACAGACAUGUUAUUGAAAAAUAGUAUGAAAGCAGAAUUUGGUAGUAAACUUAAAAAUUAUAUUGAGUUGAAAUAGCAAUUGUCAAUGUACAAAUCGCCCGUCACUCCAAUUAUGUUGGAUAAGUCGUAACAAAGUUGAUCUAUUGGAAAAUGGGUCAGG
RNAcentral lists this non-coding RNA (721 nucleotides) under Haematopinus suis. The record is from RNAcentral. Lineage: Eukaryota; Metazoa; Arthropoda; Insecta; Psocodea; Haematopinidae.